UACGGGGGGGGCAAGCGUUGUUCGGAAUUACUGGGCGUAAAGGGCGCGUAGGCGGCCUUGUAAGUCAGCCGUGAAAUUUCCGGGCUUAACCUGGAAGGGUCGGAUGAUACUGCGAGGCUAGAGUGUGGAAGAGGCAACUGGAAUUCCGUGUGUAGCGGUGAAAUGCGUAGAUAUACGGAGGAACACCUGAGGCGAAGGCGGGUUGCUGGGCCAACACUGACGCUGAGGCGCGAAAGCCAGGGUAGCAAACGGG
RNAcentral lists this ribosomal RNA (253 nucleotides) under uncultured prokaryote. RNAcentral describes it as "partial 16S ribosomal RNA". It matches the Rfam family "Bacterial small subunit ribosomal RNA", at positions 524 to 776 of the family's 1533-position model. The record is from RNAcentral.